Molecule: ribosomal RNA, 402 nt
Filed under: uncultured bacterium
Lineage: Bacteria
Also listed under: 2 other names
Description: partial 16S ribosomal RNA
Rfam family: Bacterial small subunit ribosomal RNA
Source: RNAcentral
UGGGGAAUAUUGGACAAUGGGCGAAAGCCUGAUCCAGCAAUGCCGCGUGAGUGAUGAAGGCCCUAGGGUUGUAAAGCUCUUUUACCCGGGAAGAUAAUGACUGUACCGGGAGAAUAAGCCCCGGCUAACUCCGUGCCAGCAGCCGCGGUAAUACGGAGGGGGCUAGCGUUGUUCGGAAUUACUGGGCGUAAAGCGCACGUAGGCGGCUUUGUAAGUUAGAGGUGAAAGCCCGGGGCUCAACCCCGGAAUAGCCUUUAAGACUGCAUCGCUUGAACACGGGAGAGGUGAGUGGAAUUCCGAGUGUAGAGGUGAAAUUCGUAGAUAUUCGGAAGAACACCAGUGGCGAAGGCGGCUCACUGGACCGUUGUUGACGCUGAGGUGCGAAAGCGUGGGGAGCAAACA